This 816-nucleotide ribosomal RNA is filed under the name uncultured Leptodontidium. Its description in RNAcentral is "eukaryotic LSU rRNA". The stretch from base 474 to 816 matches the Rfam family "Eukaryotic large subunit ribosomal RNA", at positions 1 to 341 of the family's 3401-position model. The record is from RNAcentral. Lineage: Eukaryota; Fungi; Ascomycota.
AGUCNNCGGGCCUCUNGGANAANCUCNGUCCUGAACUCCACCCUUGANUNNNCUNCCUUUGUUGCUUUGGCGGGCCGCCUCGCGCCGCGGCUUCCGCUGUUGAGUGCCCGCCAUAUGACCCCAACUCUUGUUUUUAGUGAUGUCUGACGUACUAUAUAAUAAUUAAAACUUUCAACAACGGAUCUCUUGGUUCUGGCAUCUAUGAAGAACGCAGCGAAAUGCGAUAAGUAAUGUGAAUUGCAGAAUUCAGUGAAUCAUCGAAGCUUUGAACGCACAUUGCGCCCUCUGGUAUUCCGGGGGGCAUGCCUGUUCGAGCGUCAUUAUAACCACUCAAGCUCUCGCUCGGUAUUGGGGUUCGCGGUUUCCCGGCCCCUAAAAUCUGUGGCGGUGCCUGUCGGCUCUACGCGUAGUAAUACUCCUCCCGAUUGAGUCCGGUGGGUCUACUUGCCAGCAACCCCUAAUUUUUUUAAAGUUGACCUCGGAUCAGGNANGGAUACCCACUAAACUUAAGCAUAUCCCUAAGCGGAGGAAAAGAAACCAACAGGGAUUACCUCAUUAACGGCGAGUGAACCGGUAACAGCUCAGAUUUGAAAGCUGGCUCUUUUAGGGUCCGCGCUGNAAUUUGUAGAAUAUGCUUCGGGUGUGGCCCCGGUCAAAUUUCCUUGGAAGGGGAGGUGAUAAACGGUGAGAAUCCCGUAUGUGACUGGGUGCUUUCGCUCAUGUGACGCUCUUUCGACGAGUCGAGUUGUUUGGGAAUGCCAGUCUUAUGGGUGGUUAAUUUCAUCUAAAGUUAANUAUUGUUUAGAGACCGAUAGC